RNAcentral lists this ribosomal RNA (252 nucleotides) under uncultured bacterium. Its description in RNAcentral is "partial 16S ribosomal RNA". It matches the Rfam family "Bacterial small subunit ribosomal RNA", at positions 524 to 776 of the family's 1533-position model. The record is from RNAcentral.
UACGAAGGGGGCUAGCGUUGCUCGGAUUUACUGGGCGUAAAGGGCGCGUAGGCGGACAGUUAAGUUGGGGGUGAAAGCCCGGGGCUCAACCUCGGAAUUGCCUUCAAUACUGGCUGUCUUGAGUGUGAGAGAGGUGUGUGGAACUCCGAGUGUAGAGGUGAAAUUCGUAGAUAUUGGAAGAACACCAGUGGCGAAGGCGACACACUGGCUCACUACUGACGCUGAGGCGCGAAAGCGUGGGGAGCAAACAGG